This 807-nucleotide long non-coding RNA is filed under the name Hordeum vulgare. Its description in RNAcentral is "long non-coding RNA (HVUL_LNC011534)". The record is from RNAcentral. Lineage: Eukaryota; Viridiplantae; Streptophyta; Magnoliopsida; Poales; Poaceae.
AAUAUCACACAUGGUGAAUCGGUCCACAAUCCCAGCCCGAGGCUCCCGCGACACCUAGGGUUCCCCCUCCCCCCUCCGCCGCCGCCGGCCCUCCGUCGGUCAGGCUCCUCCUCCGCCGCCGUCCCCCGCCUCCUCCCUCCCCCUCCUGGAUCGGCCUCGCGCCGCCUUCCCGGGAGGUGGCCGGGGCGGCAUGCAAGCUCUUGUCCCACGAGCGGCCUCCUCCUCCGGCUCCCCUCCCCCGCCGUCGUCGGCGGGGGGCCCCNNNNNNNNNNNNNNNNNNNNNNNNNNNNNNNNNGCCCCCGGCGCUGGCCCGGGUGGUGCCGGCGGCGGCGAGCCCUCCUUUCCCAGCGCGCUCGGUUCCCCUUCUUCGACCUCAGAACGAUUUUUGUUAAUUGCUUUGUACAAAGUGGAGGAAACCCUUUUUCAUCGUAUCACACAUGGUAGGAAUCCCCUUUCUCGACCGAUUUUUGUUUUGCUAAUGCUCUGACCGGGAUAGUUCAAAGUUCAGUCGACGGAACUUGUCUAUAUCUCAUUAACCUCCAAAUCUGGUUUUGUUUCUAUUUCAUUUAUUUAUAAUGCAAGAGAGGAAGCCCUCCCAGCCUCUGCACCAUAUGAUAAACAAAUCCAGUUUAUUGCAAAGUUCUUUUUUAGCCGAUUUAUUGCAUCAUAUAUUCAUUUGAUGAACAAACCCGUAGUUUAUUUUCCUUUUUAAUAAAAGGCUCCAUAUAGCCUGAGUUCUCUUUCCACUUUCCAGCAAUCUCUAUCUAAAUCGGGUCAUAAAUCCCUCGAUAUAUAGUCAAGUUCAAC